GCAAGUCGAGCGAGAACGUCCUUCGGGGCGAGUACAGCGGCGGACGGGUGAGUAACGCGUAGGAAUCUACCUGGUAGUGGGGGACAACAUGUGGAAACGCAUGCUAAUACCGCAUACGCCCUAUGGGGGAAAGCGGGGGACCUUCGGACCUCGCGCUAUUGGAUGAGCCUGCGUAAGAUUAGCUAGUUGGUGGGGUAAAAGCUCACCAAGGCGACGAUCUUUAGCUGGUCUGAGAGGAUGAUC
RNAcentral lists this ribosomal RNA (243 nucleotides) under uncultured bacterium. RNAcentral's name for it is "partial 16S ribosomal RNA". It matches the Rfam family "Bacterial small subunit ribosomal RNA", at positions 57 to 305 of the family's 1533-position model. The record is from RNAcentral.